RNAcentral lists this ribosomal RNA (463 nucleotides) under uncultured bacterium. RNAcentral's name for it is "bacterial SSU rRNA". It matches the Rfam family "Bacterial small subunit ribosomal RNA", at positions 28 to 507 of the family's 1533-position model. The record is from RNAcentral.
GACGAACGCUGGCGGCGUGCCUAACACAUGCAAGUCGAGCGAGGAGAGUUCCUUCGGGAACAAACCUAGCGGCGGACGGGUGAGUAACACGUGGGCAACCUGCCUUGUAGAGGGAAUAGCCUUCCGAAAGGAAGAUUAAUACCGCAUAACAUUACAGUUUCGCAUGAAACAGUAAUUAAAGGAGCAAUCCGCUACAAGAUGGGCCCGCGGCGCAUUAACUAGUUGGUGAGGUAACGGCUCACCAAGGCGACGAUGCGUAGCCGACCUGAGAGGGUGAUCGGCCACAUUGGGACUGAGACACGGCCCAGACUCCUACGGGAGGCAGCAGUGGGGAAUAUUGCACAAUGGGGGAAACCCUGGUGCAGCAACGCCGCGUGAGUGAUGAAGGUUUUCGGAUCGUAAAGCUCUGUCUUCGGGGACGAUAAUGACGGUACCCGAGGAGGAAGCCACGGCUAACUACGUG